GCGAGGGAUGGCCUGAAGCCUGCAGGCCGAACUGUCAGUUCCUUGUGGAGUCCAGGACCCAGAGUGAGAACUUCACUGAUGCCUUUCGGCCAAUCGGAUGGUGCUUUUUCCAGGCCCACCCAUGACCGCCCAUGGACCAAUCAGCAUGCACUUCCUCUAUUCUGAGUCCAUAAAAAUCCCUGGAUUCGUACACACACUCUUCGGGAUGACCUGCCUAUGCCAUGAAGCUGAGGAUUGGUAGCCCUUUUAGAGGAACACGUGCUUCCAGACCAGCUGUGGGCAUAGGUGACUCCACCUUUAAAGUACUCAGGAAGCUUGAGUGGCAUCUAAAU
RNAcentral lists this long non-coding RNA (332 nucleotides) under Homo sapiens (human). Its description in RNAcentral is "HSALNT0335692". Lineage: Eukaryota; Metazoa; Chordata; Mammalia; Primates; Hominidae. The record is from RNAcentral.